GUGAGGAAUAUUGGACAAUGGGCGCAAGCCUGAUCCAGCCAUGCCGCGUGCAGGAAGACGCAUCUAUGGUGUGUAAACUGCUUUUGUACGGGAAGAAACACUCCCUCGUGAGGGAGCUUGACGGUACCGUAAGAAUAAGGAUCGGCUAACUCCGUGCCAGCAGCCGCGGUAAUACGGAGGAUCCAAGCGUUAUCCGGAAUCAUUGGGUUUAAAGGGUCCGUAGGCGGUUUAAUAAGUCAGUGGUGAAAGCCCAUCGCUCAACGAUGGAACGGCCAUUGAUACUGUUAGACUUGAAUUACAAGGAAGUAACUAGAAUAUGUAGUGUAGCGGUGAAAUGCUUAGAGAUGACACAGAACACCGACGGCGAAGGCAGGUUACCAACCCAUUACUGACGCUGAGGCACGAAAGCGUGGGGAUCAAACAGGAUUAGAAACCCCGGUAGUCC
RNAcentral lists this ribosomal RNA (445 nucleotides) under uncultured bacterium. RNAcentral describes it as "partial 16S ribosomal RNA". It matches the Rfam family "Bacterial small subunit ribosomal RNA", at positions 354 to 796 of the family's 1533-position model. The record is from RNAcentral.